UUGACCUCAAAUCGGGUGAGACUACCCGCUGAACUUAAGCAUAUCAAUAAGCGGAGGAAAAGAAACUAACAAGGAUUCCCCUAGUAACUGCGAGUGAAGCGGGAAAAGCUCAAAUUUAAAAUCUGGCGGUCUUUGGCCGUCCGAGUUGUAAUUUAGAGAAGCGUCUUCCGCGCCGGACCGUGCACAAGUCUCCUGGAAUGGAGCGUCAUAGAGGGUGAGAAUCCCGUCUUUGGCACGGAUGCCUGGUGCUUCUGUGAUGCGCUCUCGAAGAGUCGAGUUGUUUGGGAAUGCAGCUCAAAAUGGGUGGUGAACUCCAUCUAAAGCUAAAUAUUGGCGAGAGACCGAUAGCGAACAAGUACCGUGAGGGAAAGAUGAAAAGCACUUUGGAAAGAGAGUGAAACAGUACGUGAAAUUGUUGAAAGGGAAACGCUUGAAGUCAGUCGCGUCGACCGAGACUCAGCCUUGCCUCGGCUUGGUGUACUUCUCGGCCCGACGGGUCAGCGUCAAUUUUGCCCCUCGGAUAAUGGCAAGGGAAAGGUGGCACCUUUACGGGUGUGUUAUAGUCUCCUGUCGCAUGCGAGGGGUGGGAUUGAGGAACUCAGCGUGCACCUUGGUGUCGGGGCUUCGGCCCACGUCACGCGCUUAGGAUGCUGCGUA
Molecule: ribosomal RNA, 657 nt
Filed under: uncultured Lactarius
Lineage: Eukaryota; Fungi; Basidiomycota; Agaricomycetes; Russulales; Russulaceae
Description: eukaryotic LSU rRNA
Rfam family: Eukaryotic large subunit ribosomal RNA
Source: RNAcentral